GAACACAUUACAUCACAUCACAUAUCACAAUAUUACAUUACACCACAGCACUGUACAUCACAUCACACCACAUUAUUGAUCUUAAUGUAACGAAGAAUACCGAAAGUACAUGAAACUGAAUCACAUCGUAUCGUAUCGGUGUCAUUAAGCAACGUUAUACAAAAUGAUCACUCCACACCACAUCACCGCAUGCCAUAACAUCACCGCAUGCCUAUCAUGUUACGUCAUGACUCAUCACAUCACAUCCAAAUCCCCAUUAACCACAACGAAAGUACAUCCCGUCGCAUUGAAUUAAAACGUAUACUAUAAUUUAACAUCAUAUCACAUCACCACACAAAGGAAUACCGUAAGAAUAUCACAUUGAAUCUUAUUAGAGUCACUAAUAUAUGAAUUUUGGCCCGAACCGACAAACGGUUGUAGUUCCAAAUAAGAAGAAGAAGAAGAACAUCAUAUGCAUAUA
Molecule: long non-coding RNA, 460 nt
Organism: Rhagoletis pomonella (apple maggot)
Lineage: Eukaryota; Metazoa; Arthropoda; Insecta; Diptera; Tephritidae
Exons: 2
Source: RefSeq, a predicted model, not a curated record